UGUAGCUUUGCGAAGAGAAAGUACAAUGGCCCCAGGGAGAUGAGCCUGUAAGAGCUGAUGGGACUGUCAACCUGAGUCCGCUGGAUCCCUGCACAGGACCUGAGCUGUCGCCACUGGCCUGGCGGCAAGUGGGGACCUGGAAGAGCAUUGUAGGAAGGGGAUGAAGAGGCUAUCAAGACUCCUGGAACUGGAAUUACGGACGGCUGUGAGCCACGCGAUGAGCCCUGGGAGUCGAGCUCAGGUCUCUGCGAGAGCCACAGUCCUGACCCAGCUACAGAAGAAGCAAGACGUGACUGCCUCGCCGAAAAAGAUGAGGGAAAGAAGCUUAAGGAAAUUAAAUGCCAAAAGGCCAGGCCAAACUGAAGCCAUUUCUCUGGAGCCUUGUGGGAGUGAAGAAAUGACAGAUCGAAUGUGAACAGUUGUCAAAUUCAGGAGCAUAAAAAUCUGAAUGUUCCAGAAAAAUCAGCAGUAGUGGAAGUCUACUCCCCUACUAGUACUUUUGGAGAGCCCCGGAAACUCAAUAAAACCUCAGUGAUUGACAAUUAAAUAAGAUAA
This is a long non-coding RNA of Alexandromys fortis (reed vole), 555 nucleotides long. RefSeq lists it as uncharacterized. Lineage: Eukaryota; Metazoa; Chordata; Mammalia; Rodentia; Cricetidae. The record is from RefSeq and is a predicted model, not a curated record. The transcript has 3 exons.